This 1131-nucleotide ribosomal RNA is filed under the name Echinosphaeria canescens. RNAcentral describes it as "eukaryotic LSU rRNA". It matches the Rfam family "Eukaryotic large subunit ribosomal RNA", at positions 22 to 1155 of the family's 3401-position model. Lineage: Eukaryota; Fungi; Ascomycota; Sordariomycetes; Sordariales; Helminthosphaeriaceae. The record is from RNAcentral.
GUACCCGCUGAACUUAAGCAUAUCAGUAAGCGGAGGAAAAGAAACCAACAGGGAUUGCCCCAGUAACUGCGAGUGAAGCGGCAACAGCUCAAAUUUGAAAUCCGGCCCCCCCCGCCGGGGGCCCGAGUUGUAAUUUGAAGAGGAUGCUUCGGGCGCGGCGCCUUCCGAGUCCCCUGGAACGGGGCGCCACAGAGGGUGAGAGCCCCGUCUGGUCGGACGCCAAGCCCGCGUGAAGCUCCCUCGACGAGUCGAGUAGCUUGGGAAUGCUGCUCUAAGCGGGAGGUAAAUGCCUUCUAAAGCUAAAUACCUGCCAGAGACCGAUAGCGCACAAGUAGGGUGACCGAAAGCUGAAAAGAACCUUGAAAAGAGGGUUAAAGAGCACGUGAAAUUGUUGAAAGGGAAGCGCCUGCGAGCCAGAACGCGGGCGCGGCGGAUCACCCGGCGCUCCGCGCCGGCGCACUCCGCCGCGCCCGGGCCAGCGCCGGCCCCGGCGGGGGGACAGAGGCCCGGGGAACGUAGCUGCCCCGCGCAGUGUUACAGCCCCGGGCGGACUGCCCCCGCUGGGGCCGAGGGAACCCGCGCCCGCGAGGGCAAGGGCGCUGGCGUAAUGGGCGCAGGCGACCCGUCUUGAAACACGGACCAAGGAGUCGAGGUCUGGCGCGAGUGUACGGGCGCAAAAAACCCUGACGCGGAAUGAAAGUGAACGCAGGUGGGAGCCCCCCGUGGGCGCACCACCGACCGAUCCCGACGUGCUCGGAAGGAUUUGAGUAGGAGCGCCAGGCCUCGGACCCGAAAGAUGGUGAACUAUGCUUGGAUAGGGUGAAGCCAGAGGAAACUCUGGUGGAGGCUCGCAGCGGUUCUGACGUGCAAAUCGAUCGUCAAAUCUGAGCAUGGGGGCGAAAGACCAAUCGAACCAUCUAGUAGCUGGUUACCGCCGAAGUUUCCCUCAGGAUAGCGGUGUUGGGCCCUCGGUUUUAUGGGGUAAAGCGAAUGAUUAGGGACCCGGGGGCGGCUUCUUGCCUUCAUCCAUUCUCAAACUUUGAAUACGUAAGAAGCUCCCGUUUCUUGACUGAACGGGGGCCGUCGAACGUUCCAACACUAGUGGGCCAUUUUUGGUAAGCAGAACUGGCG